GGCAAACGGGUGAGUAACACGUGGGUGACCUGCCUUCGAGUGGGGGAUAACGUCCCGAAAGGGACGCUAAUACCGCAUGACAUCCUGCUCUUGGACGAGCGGAGAUCAAAGCCGGGGAUCGCAAGACCUGGCGCUUGAAGAGGGGCCCGCGCCUGAUUAGCUAGUUGGUGAGGUAAUGGCUCACCAAGGCGACGAUCAGUAUCCGGCCUGAGAGGGCGGACGGACACACUGGGACUGAGACACGGCCCAGACUCCUACGGGAGGCAGCAGUGGGGAAUUGUUCGCAAUGGGCGCAAGCCUGACGACGCAACGCCGCGUGGAGGACGAAGAUCUUCGGGUCGUAAACUCCUGUCGAGCGGGAAGAAACCCGCGGAGGUGAAUAGCCUCUGCGGUUGACGGUACCGCUAAAGGAAGCCCCGGCUAACUCCGUGCCAGCAGCCGCGGUAAUACGGGGGGGGCAAGCGUUGUUCGGAAUUACUGGGCGUAAAGGGCUCGUAGGCGGCCAACUAAGUCGGAUGUGAAAUCCCCAGGCUUAACCUGGGAACUGCAUCCGAUACUGGAUGGCUUGAAUCCGGGAGAGGGAUGCGGAAUUCCAGGUGUAGCGGUGAAAUGCGUAGAUAUCUGGAGGAACACCGGUGGCGAAGGCGGCAUCCUGGACCGGCAUUGACGCUGAGGAGCGAAAGCCAGGGGAGCAAACGGGAUUAGAUACCCCGGUAGUCC
RNAcentral lists this ribosomal RNA (720 nucleotides) under uncultured bacterium. Its description in RNAcentral is "bacterial SSU rRNA". It matches the Rfam family "Bacterial small subunit ribosomal RNA", at positions 97 to 796 of the family's 1533-position model. The record is from RNAcentral.